GUGCGGGGAUGAUUCUGACCCUUGAACUCUCUCUUCACUCAGGACAAGCUGAUCGAGUACU
Molecule: small nucleolar RNA, 61 nt
Organism: Sorex araneus (European shrew)
Lineage: Eukaryota; Metazoa; Chordata; Mammalia; Eulipotyphla; Soricidae
Gene: SNORD26
Rfam family: Small nucleolar RNA SNORD26
About the family: U26 is a member of the C/D class of snoRNA which contain the C (UGAUGA) and D (CUGA) box motifs.
Source: Ensembl